UACGGGGGAUGCGAGCGUUGUCCGGAUUCACUGGGCAUAAAGGGCGCGUAGGCGGCUUCCUAAGUCAGGGGUGAAAUCCGGCAGCUCAACUGUCGCAGUGCCUUUGAUACUGGGAAGCUCGAGGGAUGUAGGGGUAUGUGGAACUUCCGGUGGAGCGGUGAAAUGCGUUGAUAUCGGAAGGAACGCCGGUGGCGAAGGCGACGUACUGGACAUCUUCUGACGCCGAGGCGCGAAAGCCAGGGGAGCAAACGGG
This 253-nucleotide ribosomal RNA is filed under the name uncultured bacterium. RNAcentral's name for it is "partial 16S ribosomal RNA". It matches the Rfam family "Bacterial small subunit ribosomal RNA", at positions 524 to 776 of the family's 1533-position model. The record is from RNAcentral.